CUGAACUUAUAACCGAGUUGUUGCUGGUCCCUCGAACAUGGGGGGGCACGUGCACACUCUGUUUAUAUAUCCACUCACACCUGUGCACACUCCAUAGUUCCUGUGGCUUUGGGGAGGGGGGGGGGUUCUGUUCUCCUCUCCUGCCUGCUACGGUUCUAUGCAUUCACACAUAUACGCUGUAGUGAAGUUUUAUGGAAAAGAUGUCGCGUUUAACGCAAUACAAUACAACUUUCAGCAACGGAUCUCUUGGCUCUCGCAUCGAUGAAGAACGCAGCGAAAUGCGAUAAGUAAUGUGAAUUGCAGAAUUCAGUGAAUCAUCGAAUCUUUGAACGCACCUUGCGCCCUUUGGCUAUUCCGAAGGGCAUACCUGUUUGAGUAUCAUGAACAUCCUCAACUCCUCAUGGGCUUACCAUGAUGGGCUUGGACUUUGGAGGCCUUGCUGGCUUGUGGGUCAGCUCCUCUCAAAUGAAUCAGCUUACCAGUGUUUGGUGGUGUCCUGGGUGUGAUAACUAUCUACGCUCAUGGCUUUCUGCUGGGUAACCUUCAUGGCUGAAGGUAUGGCUGGGGCUUACAAAUGUCUCUCCUCGGUGAAGACAGUUCUGAAC
This 605-nucleotide small RNA is filed under the name uncultured Tomentella. Its description in RNAcentral is "eukaryotic LSU rRNA". The stretch from base 227 to 381 matches the Rfam family "5.8S ribosomal RNA". Lineage: Eukaryota; Fungi; Basidiomycota; Agaricomycetes; Thelephorales; Thelephoraceae. The record is from RNAcentral.